This 849-nucleotide ribosomal RNA is filed under the name Actinomycetes bacterium. Its description in RNAcentral is "bacterial SSU rRNA". It matches the Rfam family "Bacterial small subunit ribosomal RNA", at positions 61 to 924 of the family's 1533-position model. Lineage: Bacteria; Bacillati; Actinomycetota; Actinomycetes. The record is from RNAcentral.
GUCGAACGAUGAACCACUUCGGUGGGGAUUAGUGGCGAACGGGUGAGUAACACGUGGGCAAUCUGCCCUGCACUCUGGGACAAGCCCUGGAAACGGGGUCUAAUACCGGAUAUUGACCUUCACGGGCAUCUGUGAGGUUCGAAAGCUCCGGCGGUGCAGGAUGAGCCCGCGGCCUAUCAGCUUGUUGGUGAGGUAAUGGCUCACCAAGGCGACGACGGGUAGCCGGCCUGAGAGGGCGACCGGCCACACUGGGACUGAGACACGGCCCAGACUCCUACGGGAGGCAGCAGUGGGGAAUAUUGCACAAUGGGCGAAAGCCUGAUGCAGCGACGCCGCGUGAGGGAUGACGGCCUUCGGGUUGUAAACCUCUUUCAGCAGGGAAGAAGCGAAAGUGACGGUACCUGCAGAAGAAGCGCCGGCUAACUACGUGCCAGCAGCCGCGGUAAUACGUAGGGCGCAAGCGUUGUCCGGAAUUAUUGGGCGUAAAGAGCUCGUAGGCGGCUUGUCACGUCGGUUGUGAAAGCCCGGGGCUUAACCCCGGGUCUGCAGUCGAUACGGGCAGGCUAGAGUUCGGUAGGGGAGAUCGGAAUUCCUGGUGUAGCGGUGAAAUGCGCAGAUAUCAGGAGGAACACCGGUGGCGAAGGCGGAUCUCUGGGCCGAUACUGACGCUGAGGAGCGAAAGCGUGGGGAGCGAACAGGAUUAGAUACCCUGGUAGUCCACGCCGUAAACGGUGGGCACUAGGUGUGGGCAACAUUCCACGUUGUCCGUGCCGCAGCUAACGCAUUAAGUGCCCCGCCUGGGGAGUACGGCCGCAAGGCUAAAACUCAAAGGAAUUGACGGGGGCCCGC